RNAcentral lists this long non-coding RNA (6595 nucleotides) under Salvia miltiorrhiza (redroot sage). RNAcentral's name for it is "long non-coding RNA (SMIL_LNC008135)". The record is from RNAcentral. Lineage: Eukaryota; Viridiplantae; Streptophyta; Magnoliopsida; Lamiales; Lamiaceae.
UGGGUUUGAGGGUAGUAUGAGAAGCGAUGUCCCUCGACGAAUACUUUUGAGAUGGACCGAAGAUUCGAGUUCCCCCUUGUUCAUUCCCACCUUUCGCGGGUGCCCACGUAGGUCUUGCCGCCGUCGUCAUAACGGAACCUUAAUUUGCUGGAGAUUUUCAAAACUGGAGCUACGAUCUAUAGGAAUAAGUCUGGAAGAGCUGAUAGUCUUGACAAUCGGUCGGCGAGUGAGAUAUCGAAAACCCUAGGUGAUCGGAGAUGCUUUCGAUUUGGGAAUUUCUGUGGGAGACGGAUAAUGUAAUCUAAGGUAAGGACGAAAUAGAGAGCUCGACAACUCAAUUUACAACUAUAACCUUUCUCCUUAGACGGGAUCGGGCUCAGACUCGGAUCGCCCUUAAUGGGCCAACACCCACAUUCUAUAGACCGGGCUUUUACAUACUUCUAAUGGGCCGAGGGACGGCCUCGAAGCAAUCCAGCCUAUUUCAUAAGAAUGACUAGUCUUUAUAUACUUUAAAUUAAUGUUAAUAGGCAAAAAUGCCACAUCCUUAAGUUUGAUAGGAAAAAUACCCUAAAUUAUACUCCCUCCGUCCAUGAAAGAACUUCCUAGGAGGGAGUGGCACGGUUUUAAGUAAAAAUAUUAUUGAGUGUAUUGAAGUGGAUAAAAGGUAGUUAGUGUAUUGGGAGUGGUGAAAAUGUGUAUAAUUAAUAUUGGGAGUUGUGAAAAGUGAAAAUAAGAGGAUUAUAAGUGGUGGGGUAUAGUCCAAAAAUAGGUAGGAAGCUCUUUUGUGGACGUCCCAAAAAGGAAAAAUAGAAGUUCUUUCGUGGACGGAGGGAGUAAAACAAAGCAUUCUAUUUAUCCCUAAUUAUGUAAAGUACCUGAUGAGGACUGAAAUAUGCACCAGCGCUGUGCUAAACAGGGCUAUAGUAUUUUCCUUUUAUCUUUAUUAUUUAUGCUAUUAGUAUUAUUAAUAUUUGGUUCAGUUGGACUUAACAGGGAAUUACUACAGCAGCGUAGCUCGACUCUCGGUUCGAUUAAGAAGCGAAGCUCAUGUAAUAGGAGCUUGGGCCCAUUUAUUUAGGGUUAGUGGGUUAAUGGGCCUUACUUUCUCUCUUUCCUAUAAAUAGCUCCAUUUAGCUCUCAUUUAAGGGGAUAGUCAUUUUUAGCCUACAACUUGUAAGCUGUAAAAUACUCUUUCAAUUAUAGUGGAAACCCCAAAAACCCCGUGGACGUAGGUCUUCUCGACCGAACCACGUAAAUCCGGUGUCGUUUACUGCUUUUAUUUAUCGUAUUAUUUCUCGUUUCACCAACUGGCGCCGUCUGUGGGAAAAUCGAGCUAAGGCGUGAGAUUCAUUGUUUUUCGAGUUACUGUUCAGCCAGAGCAGCGAAGUCCAGCCAGAGCAGGAAGUGCGCAGGCAGGAAGUCAAGCAGAGACGACUUUUCCAGAGCGCGCGAGUCCAGCUGGAAGUUGCCUUAUCUUACACGAUUUUAUUUCCUUUAGAGUUCUACUUUGCAUGGCAACUUCCAUGAUGAUCAAGUGCAGUUUGAUGUCUAUAAAUAGGGUUUAGUUUUCAUUGUAAAGUCAUCCUUCUGCCUCCAGGCGUGUAGUUAGAUAAAUUCUUUGCCCUAGUUUUUGUUGCUUUCGAGAAUCUCCCUUGGCAGCCGAGACUUAGGAAUUUAAUUGUUUUCAUAGUUCUUUCAUAGUGCUCGAAUUUCAUUGUUAAUUUUCGAUUAGUUUUGUUUAGUUUUAUUCUUGGUUUGUGAUUGAGUGACACAAUUACACGUCAAGACGUUUACGGUAGUUUGCAAUUCAAUUCAAUUUAUUUUGUUUAACCAUGUUUAUCUUUUUCAUUCAUGUUUAUGCUUUCCUUUCUAAUUAUGCUAAUUUAGAUUAUGCACUUUAGUUUCACGUCUAGAUUAGUUGGUUUUUAAUUCUACACGUUAUUUAAUUUUUCUUAAGUUUAGAUUUUAAUUUAAGUUGCUUUAAUCUUGCCUAGGGUUUAAUAGUUUNGCUCAGACUCGGAUCGCCCUUAAUGGGCCAACAGCCCACAUUCUAUAGACCGGGCUUUUUACAUACUUCGUAAUGGGCCGAGGGACGGCCUCGAAGCAAUGCCAUCCUAUUUCGAUAAGAAUGACUAGUCUUUAUAUACUUUCAAAUUAAUGUUAAUAGGCAAAAAUGCCCACAUCCUUAAGUUUGAUAGGAAAAAGUACCCUUAAAUUAUACUCCCUCCGUUCAUUGAAAGAACGUUCCUAGGGGGGAGUGGCAACGGGUUUUAAGUAAAAAUAUUAUUGAGUGUAUUGAGAGUGGAUAAAAGGUAGUUGAGUGUAUUGGGAGUGGUGAAAAUGUGUUAUAAUUAAUAUUGGGAGUUGUGAAAGUAGAAAAGUAAGAGGAUUAUAAGUGGUGGGGUAUAGUCCAAAAAUAGGUAGGAAGCUCUUUUGUGGACGUCCCAAAAAGGAAAAAUAUGAAGUUCUUUCGUGGACGGAGGGAGUAAAACAAAGCAUUCUAUUCUAUGCCCUAAUUAUGUAAAGUACCUGAUGAGGACUGAAAUAUGCACCAGCGCUGUGCUAAACAAGGCUAUAGUAUUUUCCUUUUAUCUUUAUUAUUCAUGCUAUUACUAUUAUUAAUAUUUGGUUCAGUUGGACUUAACAGGGAAUUACUACAGCAGUGUAGCUCGACUCUCGGUUCGAUUAAGAAGCGAAGCUCAUGUAAUAGGGGCUUGGGCCCAUUUAUUUAGGGCUAGUGGGUUAAUGGGCCUUACUUUAUCUCUUUCCUAUAAAUAGCUCCAUUUAGCUCUCAUUUAAGGGGAUAAUCAUUUUUAGCCUACAACUUGUAAGCUGUAAAAUAAUCUUUCAAUUAUAGUAGAAAACCCCCAAAAACCCCCGUGCACGUAGGUCUUCUCGACCGAACCACGUAAAUCCGGUGUCGUUUACUGCUUUUAUUUACCGUAUUAUUUCUCGUUUCACCAACUGGCACCGUCUGUGGGAAAAUCGAGCUAAGGCGUGAAAUUCAUUGUUUUUCGGGUUACUGUUCAGCCAGAGCAGCGAAGUCAGCCAGAGCAGCGAAGUCCAGCAGAGCAGAAAAGUGCGCGCAGAGCAGAGAAGUGCGUCAUAGCGGAGACGACUUUUCCAGAGCGCGCGAGUCCAGCUGGAAGUUGCCUUAUCUUACACGAUUUUAUUUCCUUUAGAGUUCUACUUUGCAUGGCAACUUCCAUGAUGAUCAAGUGCAGUUUGAGGUCUAUAAAUAGGGUUUAGUUUUCAUUGUAAAAAUCAUCCUUCUGCCUCCAGGCGUGUAGUUAGAUAAAUCCUUUGCCCUAGUUUUUGUUGCUUUCGAGAAUCUCCCUUGGCAGCCGAGACUUAGGAAUUUAAUUGUUUUCAUAGUUCUUUCAUAGUGCUCGAAUUUCAUUGUUAAUUUUCGAUUAGUUUUGUUUAGUUUUAUUCUUGGUUUGUGAUUGAGUGACACAAUUACACGUCAAGACGUUUACGGUAGUUUGCAAUUCAAUUCAAUUUAUUUUGUUUAACCAUGUUUAUCUUUUUCAUUCAUGUUUAUGUUUUCCUUUCAAUUAUGCAAUUUAGAUUAUGCACUUUAGUUUCACGUCUAGAUUAGUUGGUUUUUAAUUUACACGUAUUUAAUUUUCUUAAGUUAGAUUUAAUUUAAGUUGUUUUAAUCUUGCCUAGGGUUUAAUAGUUUAAUUCGCCUAGUUAAUUUUAAGUUCGGUUUUUAAUUCAGUUUUUUUUAAUUCUAAGUUUUAGUUUAAUAAUCAAACUCUUUACUUCUUUCUUUAUUGUUUUUCCUACGAUACAAUUAAAAGCCCUUAAAGACUUUCCUUGAGAGAUGACACUGGGUCAACUUACCAUCGCUAGGAUGUCCUUGUUCUAUUGCAAGUCAACUUAGAGGUGUUUCUAGUUGAGUCACUAACCCUAAAAAGUUUCAAGGAAAAAAAAACCUAAGCAAAGUUGAGGAUGAGAAAUGUGUAAAGAAUGAACCUGGGUUUGAGGGUAGUAUGAGAAGCGAUGUCCCUCGACGAAUACUUUUGAGAUGGACCGAAGAUUCGAGUUCCCCCUUGUUCAUUCCCACCUUUCGCGGGUGCCCACGUAGGUCUUGCCGCCGUCGUCAUAACGGAACCUUAAUUUGCUGGAGAUUCUCAAAACUGGAGCUACGAUCUAUAGGAAUAAGUCUGGAAGAGCUGAUAGUCUUGACAAUCGGUCGGCGAGUGAGAUAUCGAAAACCCUAGGUGAUCGGAGAUGCUUUCGAUUUGGGAAUUUUUGUGGGAGACGGAUAAUGUAAUCUAAGGUAAGGACGAAAUAGAGAGCUCGACAACUCAAUUUACAACUAUAACCCUUUCUCCUUAGACGGGAUCGGGCUCUGACUCGGAUCGCCCUUAAUGGGCCAACAGCCCACAUUCUAUAGACCGGGCUUUUACAUACUUCUAAUGGGCCGAGCGACGGCUUCGAAGCAAUGCCAGCCUAUUUCGAUAAGAAUGACUAGUCUUUAUAUACUUUCAAAUUAAUGUUAAUAGGCAAAAAUGCCCACAUCCUUAAGUUUGAUAGGAAAAAUACCCUAAAUUAUACUCCCUCCGUCCAUGAAAGAACUUCCUAGGAGGGAGUGGCACGGGUUUUAAGUAAAAAUAUUAUUGAGUGUAUUGAGAGUGGAUAAAAGGUAGUUGAGUGUAUUGGGAGUGGUGAAAAUGUAUAUAAUUAAUAUUGGGAGUUGUGAAAAGUGAAAAGUAAGAGGAUUAUAAGUGGUGGGGUAUAGUCCAAAAAUAGGUAGGAAGCUCUUUUGUGGACGUCCCAAAAAGGAAAAAUAGGAAGUUCUUUCGUGGACGGAGGGAGUAAAACAAAGCAUUCUAUUCUAUGCCCUAAUUAUGUAAAGUACCUGAUGAGGACUGAAAUAUGCACCAGCGCUGUGCUAAACAGGGCUAUAGUAUUUUCCUUUUAUCUUUAUUAUUCAUGCUAUUAUUAUUAAUAAUAUUUGGUUCAGUUGGACUUAACAGGGAAUUACUACAGCAGCGUAGCUCGACUCUCGGUUCGAUUAAGAAGCGAAGCUCAUGUAAUAGGGGCUUGGGCCCAUUUAUUUAGGGCUAGUGGGUUAAUGGGCCUUACUUUCUCUCUUUCCUAUAAAUAGCUCCAUUUAGCUCUCAUUUAAGGGGAUAGUCAUUUUUAGCCUACAACUUGUAAGCUGUAAAAUACUCUUUCAAUUAUAGUGGAAAAGCCCCCAAAACCCCCGUGGACGUAGGUCUUCUCGACCGAACCACGUAAAUCCGGUGUCGUUUACUGCUUUUAUUUACCGUAUUAUUUCUCGUUUCACCAACUGGCGCCGUCUGUGGGAAAAUCGAGCUAAGGCGUGAGAUUCAUUGUUUUUCGGGUUACUGUUCAGCCAGAGCAGCGAAGUCAGCCAGAGCAGCGAAGUCCAGCAGAGCAGAGAAGUGCGCGCAGGGCAGAGAAGUGCGUCAUACCGGAGACGACUUUUCCAGAGCGCGCGAGUCCAGCUGGAAGUUGCCUUAUCUUACACGAUUUUAUUUCCUUUAGAGUUCUACUUUGCAUGGCAACUUCCAUGAUGAUCAAGUGCAGUUUGAGGUCUAUAAAUAGGGUUUAGUUUUCAUUGUAAAAAUCAUCCUUCUGCCUCCAGGCGUGUAGUUAGAUAAAUCCUUUGCCCUAGUUUUUGUUGCUUUCGAGAAUCUCCCUUGGCAGCCGAGACUUAGGAAUUUAAUUGUUUUCAUAGUUCUUUCAUAGUGCUCGAAUUUCAUUGUUAAUUUUCGAUUAGUUUUGUUUAGUUUUAUUCUUGGUUUGUGAUUGAGUGACACAAUUACACGUCAAGACGUUUACGGUAGUUUGCAAUUCAAUUCAAUUUAUUUUGUUUAACCAUGUUUAUCUUUUUCAUUCAUGUUUAUGCUUUCCUUUCAAUUAUGCAAUUUAGAUUAUGCACUUUAGUUUCACGUCUAGAUUAGUUGGUUUUUAAUUUACACGUAUUUAAUUUUCUUAAGUUAGAUUUAAUUUAAGUUGUUUUAAUCUUGCCUAGGGUUUAAUAGUUUAAUUCGCCUAGUUAAUUUUAAGUUCGGUUUUUAAUUCAGUUUUUUUUUAAUUCUAAGUUUUAGUUUAAUAAUCAAACUCUUUACUUCUUUCUUUAUUGUUUUUCCUACGAUACAAUUAAAAGCCCUUAAAGACUUUCCUUGAGAGAUGACACUGGGUCAACUUACCAUCGCUAGGAUGUCCUUGUUCUAUUGCAAGUCAACUUAGAGGUGUUUCUAGUUGAGUCACUAACCCUAAAAAGUUUCAAGGAAAAAAAACCUAAGCAACGUUGAGGAUGAGAAAUGUGUAACGAAUGAACCUGGGUUUGAGGGUAGUAUGAGAAGCGAUGUCCCUCGACGAAUACUUUUGAGAUGGACCGAAGAUUCGAGUUCCCCCUUGUUCAUUGGCACCUUUCGCGGGUGCCCACGUAGGUCUUGCCGCCGUCGUCAUAACGGAACCUUAAUUUGCUGGAGAUUCUCAAAACUGGAGCUACGAUCUAUAGGAAUAAGUCUGGAAGAGCUGAUAGUCUUGACAAUCGGUCGGCGAGUGAGAUAUCGAAAUCCCUAGGUGAUCAGAGAUGCUUUCGAUUUGG